UGGGGAAUAUUGGGCAAUGGGGGCAACCCUGACCCAGCAACGCCGCGUGAGGGAUGAAGGCCUUCGGGUUGUAAACCUCUGUCCUUGGGGACGAAGAAAGUGACGGUACCCAGGGAGGAAGCUCCGGCUAACUACGUGCCAGCAGCCGCGGUAAUACGUAGGGAGCGAGCGUUGUCCGGAAUUACUGGGCGUAAAGGGUGCGUAGGCGGUUUUUUAAGUCAGAUGUGAAAUACCCGGGCUUAACUUGGGGGCUGCAUCUGAUACUGGGAGACUUGAGUACAGGAGAGGAAAGUGGAAUUCCUAGUGUAGCGGUGAAAUGCAUAGAUAUUAGGAGGAACACCAGUGGCGAAGGCGGCUUUCUGGACUGUAACUGACGCUGAGGCACGAAAGCGUGGGGAGCAAACAGG
RNAcentral lists this ribosomal RNA (407 nucleotides) under uncultured bacterium. RNAcentral describes it as "bacterial SSU rRNA". It matches the Rfam family "Bacterial small subunit ribosomal RNA", at positions 355 to 776 of the family's 1533-position model. The record is from RNAcentral.